UGGCCAUAUCACGUUGAAUUCCCAUACGAUUACCGAAGGUAAGCAAUAUCGAGCCUAAUUAGUAUCUAGAUGGGUGACUGCCUGGGAAUACCAGUUGCUGUAA
Non-coding RNA from Acanthosepion pharaonis, 103 nucleotides. The record is from the annotation of a GenBank genome assembly. Lineage: Eukaryota; Metazoa; Mollusca; Cephalopoda; Sepiida; Sepiidae.